This 61-nucleotide transfer RNA is filed under the name Fukomys damarensis (Damara mole-rat). It matches the Rfam family "tRNA", at positions 6 to 65 of the family's 71-position model. From Rfam's summary of the family: Transfer RNA (tRNA) molecules are approximately 80 nucleotides in length. Their secondary structure includes four short double-helical elements and three loops (D, anti-codon, and T loops). The record is from Rfam by way of RNAcentral. Lineage: Eukaryota; Metazoa; Chordata; Mammalia; Rodentia; Bathyergidae.
UGUAGCUCAGUGGUAGGGCACUUGCCUAGCAUGCAUGCAAUCCUGGUUUCAAUCCCCAGCA